Molecule: small RNA, 3215 nt
Filed under: Rattus norvegicus (Norway rat)
Lineage: Eukaryota; Metazoa; Chordata; Mammalia; Rodentia; Muridae
Description: uncharacterized LOC102546363
Source: RNAcentral
GGAACUCCAUACUGAUUUCAAUAUGGCUACACUAAUGUCCAUUUGUAAAGAUCUCCCACCCUCUGUGCACAUCAGCAUCUUCCCUCUUGACUUGCUUUGAGCCUAAAAUCUGAUCUGGUUUGAAGAAAGUUUCAUGAACUGCUGAGAAGAACCCAUUUACCACAGGUAUUGGGUGAAAUAAUUCUGCUGGUGUCUUGUCUGUGUGUCUCGGAGGCAGAGUAUGAGGUGCUGUUGAUGGACUCAGGGUCUUCUUGCAUGCUUAGCAGGUACAUUAUCUAUGCCACCACCUAGCUAACCCUCUUCUGAUGCUUAAAUCCUGAGCAGUUCCCGCAGUGAUAUACUGUAUCCAUGCACUCUCCAUAGCGAUACACUGUAUCCAUGCACUCUCCACAAGCAGUGGGGGGGAUUUUAGUGGUCUUUGCUACAAUGGGUACACAGGAUGAUAGACAGAACCCUGCCAAGGUGCCCUAAGGUUAAUAUGAAAAUAACCUGCCAAGACAUAAGUGGGAAAGAUGGAGAGUGAUGGGCAGCAUAGACUGUAGGUCACAAACCUACCAACACGGGGAAGCUUCGUGUAUACUUAAUAUUGUUUAAAAUAGCAUUGGCUGCCAGGCAUGGUGGACACACCUUUAAUCUCAGCAUUCUGGAGGCAGAGGCAAGCAGAGUGAGUCUCAGGACAGGCAGGGCUGCACAUAAUAAUCCUAUCUCAAAAAACUAACAAACGAACAGCAUUAACGAGCAUCCAGCCUAGUGUCCAGAAUACCCUACACUGCUCUCUCCCUCAGAGUCCUCCCACUGCACUAUGCUUGUGUUCUCCUCCUCAUCCUCCUCCAUUGUGUCCAUGCUCCUUUCCUUACGUCCUCCCUACCCUGUGCUCAAGCUCCUCCUCCAUCAUCCUAUUUCCUGAAUUAUGUCUACCAGUUUGUGGAUUUUGGAGACAGGGACUUUCUGGUCAGUUUCAUUCCUUGUGGAACAUUUGUUACAUGGCUGACUCUUUUUGUUGGUUUUUUUUUUUUUUUUAAUGCCCUUGGUAUAAGCAGUAAGCAAUGGACUUUAAGGCUAGAGCUGCCAGACCCAUUGGUCAGUCUUAAGGCGUUAUGCUUAAAUGUGCCUCCAGACUACCGUGUUUACCCUUAGUUCCCAGUUGCUAUGGCUAAUCUUGGUCAUCAACUUGAUAUACAUGGGAAAACAGAACAUCAAUUGAGGCACUGCCUUCAUCAGAUUGGCUUGUGUAUGUCUAUGGGCGGGGCAUUUUCUUGAUUGUUAACUGAUAGAAGAAGGCUUAGCUCGCUGUGGGUUGAGCCCCCACCCUGGGCAGGUGGUCCAUGAACCUGGAAACAAGCAGAAAGAAACCAUGGUUUCCGAAUCAAGCUACUUCUCUCGAUGAUGGACUAUAAUUUGUAAGGCAAAUAAAUCCUUCCCUUUUCUCCCCCAAGUUUCUUUUGGUCACAGAUUCUGAACACAGCAACAAAAAUCUAGGAGAGUAGCUGAAUGGUGUUGGUAAGUCGCUGACUUCAUUAUCAGAUAACUUAGUGAUGACUUCUGGGCUGAGGAAGCCAUAAGAGUGUGGUCCUGGCUGGGGGAGGACCACUGACACACACCCUGAGGGCUGUGACCUAUGUGCCUGUCCCCAGCUCCUUCCUGGGUCUGCCUCUCCACCACUAGGCCAGCAGCUUUGUCCCACACUUGCUCCUGCAGGAUGCUCAGUCGCACCAGCUCCCCACACUGGCUUGACACUGGGGCCAGAUGGAGGGGUACAGGAUGCUCAGGAACCAUGAACCCUGACAUACUCUCACUGAAGUUGUUCCUGUCAGGCAUCUCGUCACAACCAGAAAAUCCGGACACAUGUGCAGUGUGUCCACAGGACCUGUCACAGCCCUUUCUGGGGCUAAUAAUGCCAGCAGACUUGCUGGUCAGAGCUUGGAGUCUGAUACCUGGAGUCCUGCUUCCUGGUCUCUGCAGCCAGACGCACUCUACAGGCUCAAUAGGCAGGGUGGGGGAGGGGCUGAGACCCUGUAGUGACUCGAACUCUGGAUCAGGAUUUUUGACCUCAGUUUCCUGACUAUAAACUGAGAGGUUUCAGAAAGUAUUCCCUGGGGAAGUGGGACCAGGCAGACAUGGCCACUGCACCCCCAGCAUCCCAGCCUGAGGCACAGCUGGUUCUGAUUGUGGGGGCUCAGCUCCCCUUGGUGAAGUGAGCAUGUCAGGCAAAGACUGAAACUUAACCCCAGUCCUCAUCCCACUCCUCUCCAGGAGGAGCACAGAGGAGCCCUCCCAGUGGAUCCCUGUCUCCUGGGGUGAAGCUCCCAGGAAGUGGAUCUGGGGAAGCUCCAGCCAUGAGGACUAUGAAAAUAAACUGCCAACGAUGUGAAUGGGACAGAUUCAAAGUGAUGGAAGAUUUUCAGAGACCGCAGGCUGCACGCUGCGACAGGGAUCCAGAGAUGAACAUCUGCUUUUGGUGAGGGACGGAGCCCUGGUCCAGCAUCAAGUCAGCCAACCCACCUACCAGGGCAUCUGCCUGGGUCCUCACCAACAGACAUGGGUGCAGAACUGAAGCCAGGCAGCCACCGGGCCAGAUCCCCCACCCAGGUCUGAUAUCUGACUCUGGGCAACCCCAAUCUAAAGACAUUAAUAAAACUUUCUAAAAAAUGGUUCUUUCAUCUGAACUGACCCAUCCUCUGUGUGGCGUGGUAAAAUUUCAUGGCCUUGGGCUCAGUACUGCCUCUGUGUAUGUGAGUCACCCCUCUGUCUAGCUUUUUACAUCACCCACCCUGUAGUGGCCUGGGAGUUAUUUCCACAAUCAGAUCAACUGCCACCAUAUACCAAAGACCAGCCAUGAAAGUCCUUCCUUCGGGUGAAAAAGGGAAACUCGCAGUGUAAUAAACAAAUUAAAAACCAGCUUGUAGUGCUUGCUAAGAUCUGGGUAAGGAUGUUCCAGGGUUGGGCGUGGCAGUAAACUUUUAGCAAUCCUCCUGCUUCAGCCUCCUGGUGCUGGAAUUACAAAUGUGUGCCACUGUGCCCAGUUGCUGUUUUUAGUUUCUGGCCAUGGCUGAAUUUUAGCUUAUAAAAUCAUAGAUGAAAGAAAAGUAGUCAAGCCAGACACUGCGUGAGGUUUCAGACAACCAAUGGGCUCUUAGAAGACAUUCCCUAGGGGGCUGGAGAGAUGGCUCAGCGGUUAAGAGCACUGACUGUUCUUCCAAAGGUCCUGAGUUCAA